AGCAGCCGCGGUAAUUCCAGCUCCAAUAGCGUAUAUUAAAGUUGCUGCAGUUAAAAAGCUCGUAGUUGAAUUUCGGGACUAAUAUGUCGGUCGUGCCUCGGUACGUACUGGUAUUUUUGGUUUCUCCCUUCUGACGAACCUUGAUGUCAUUAAUUUGGUGUCUUGGGAAAUCAGGACUGUUACUUUGAAAAAAUUAGAGUGUUUAAAGCAGGCUCACGCUUGAAUACAUUAGCAUGGAAUAAUGAAAUAGGACGUUUGAUUCUAUUUUGUUGGUUUCUAGGAUUGACGUAAUGAUUAAUAGGGAUAGUUGGGGGCAUUAGUAUUCAAUUGUCAGAGGUGAAAUUCUUGGAUUUAUUGAAGACUAACUACUGCGAAAGCAUUUGCCAAGGAUGUUUU
RNAcentral lists this ribosomal RNA (396 nucleotides) under uncultured Glomeromycotina. Its description in RNAcentral is "SSU rRNA". It matches the Rfam family "Eukaryotic small subunit ribosomal RNA", at positions 569 to 970 of the family's 1831-position model. Lineage: Eukaryota; Fungi; Glomeromycota. The record is from RNAcentral.